GAUGAACGCUGGCGGCGUGCCUAAUACAUGCAAGUCGAGCGAACAGAUGAGGAGCUUGCUCCUCUGACGUUAGCGGCGGACGGGUGAGUAACACGUGGAUAACCUACCUAUAAGACUGGGAUAACUUCGGGAAACCGGAGCUAAUACCGGAUAAUAUAUUGAACCGCAUGGUUCAAUAGUGAAAGACGGUUUUGCUGUCACUUAUAGAUGGAUCCGCGCCGCAUUAGCUAGUUGGUAAGGUAACGGCUUACCAAGGCAACGAUGCGUAGCCGACCUGAGAGGAUGAUCAGCCACACUGGAACUGAGACACGGUCCAGACUCCUACGGGAGGCAGCAGUAGGGAAUCUUCCGCAAUGGGCGAAAGCCUGACGGAGCAACGCCGCGUGAGUGAUGAAGGUCUUCGGAUCGUAAAGCUCUGUUAUUAGGGAAGAACAAAUGUAUAAGUAACUAUGCACGUCUUGACGGUACCUAAUCAGAAAGCCACGGCUAACUACGUG
This 497-nucleotide ribosomal RNA is filed under the name uncultured bacterium. RNAcentral describes it as "partial 16S ribosomal RNA". It matches the Rfam family "Bacterial small subunit ribosomal RNA", at positions 28 to 507 of the family's 1533-position model. The record is from RNAcentral.